This 807-nucleotide ribosomal RNA is filed under the name uncultured bacterium. Its description in RNAcentral is "bacterial SSU rRNA". It matches the Rfam family "Bacterial small subunit ribosomal RNA", at positions 8 to 796 of the family's 1533-position model. The record is from RNAcentral.
AGAGUUUGAUCCUGGCUCAGAACGAACGCUGGCGGCGUGCCUAACACAUGCAAGUCGAACGGACUUAUUAGGAAGUAGCAAUACGGAAUAAUAAGUUAGUGGCGGACGGGUGAGUAACACGUAGGUAACCAACCCUCAAGCGGGGGACAACCCAGGGAAACUUGGGCUAAUACCGCAUAAGACCACGGCCUGGAAUGGCUGAGGUAAAAGGAGCAAUUCACUUGAGGAUGGGCCUGCGGCCUAUCAGGUAGUUGGCGGGGUAAAGGCCCACCAAGCCUAAGACGGGUAGCCGGACUGAGAGGUUGAACGGCCACACUGGAACUGAGACACGGUCCAGACUCCUACGGGAGGCAGCAGUGGGGAAUUUUGCGCAAUGGGCGAAAGCCUGACGCAGCAACGCCGCGUGAGUGAUGAAGGCUUUCGGGUCGUAAAGCUCUGUCGAGGGGAAAGAAAUGCAUUGAGGUUAAUACCUUCUUUGCUUGACGGUACUCCUAAAGGAAGCACCGGCUAACUCCGUGCCAGCAGCCGCGGUAAUACGGGGGGUGCAAGCGUUGUUCGGAAUUAUUGGGCGUAGAGCGCGUGUAGGCGGUCUGAUUAGUCUGAUGUGAAAGCCCUGGGCUCAACCCAGGAAGUGCAUUGGAUACUGUCAGACUUGAAUACGGGAGAGGGUAGUGGAAUUCCUAGUGUAGGAGUGAAAUCCGUAGAUAUUAGGAGGAACACCGGUGGCGAAGGCGGCUACCUGGACCGAUAUUGACGCUGAGACGCGAAAGCGUGGGUAGCAAACAGGAUUAGAUACCCUGGUAGUCU